AGGUAUUGCCUUAGUAGCGGCGAGUGAAGCGGCAAAAGCUCAAAUUUGAAAUCUGGCACCUUCGGUGUCCGAGUUGUAAUUUGAAGAUUGUAACCUUGGGGUUGGCUCUUGUCUAUGUUUCUUGGAACAGGACGUCACAGAGGGUGAGAAUCCCGUGCGAUGAGAUGCCCAAUCCUAUGUAAGGUGCUUUCGAAGAGUCGAGUUGUUUGGGAAUGCAGCUCUAAGUGGGUGGUAAAUUCCAUCUAAAGCUAAAUAUUGGCGAGAGACCGAUAGCGAACAAGUACAGUGAUGGAAAGAUGAAAAGAACUUUGAAAAGAGAGUGAAAAAGUACGUGAAAUUGUUGAAAGGGAAGGGUUUGAGAUCAGACUCGAUAUUUUGUGAGCCUUGCCUUCGUGGCGGGGUGACCCGCAGCUUAUCGGGCCAGCAUCGGUUUGGGCGGUAGGAUAAUGGCGUAGGAAUGUGACUUUGCUUCGGUGAAGUGUUAUAGCCUGCGUUGAUGCUGCCUGCCUAGACCGAGGACUGCGAUUUUAUCAAGGAUGCUGACAUCAUUGAUCCCUUG
RNAcentral lists this ribosomal RNA (559 nucleotides) under Meyerozyma sp. Its description in RNAcentral is "eukaryotic LSU rRNA". It matches the Rfam family "Eukaryotic large subunit ribosomal RNA", at positions 70 to 644 of the family's 3401-position model. The record is from RNAcentral. Lineage: Eukaryota; Fungi; Ascomycota; Pichiomycetes; Serinales; Debaryomycetaceae.